RNAcentral lists this transfer RNA (75 nucleotides) under Atopobium sp. oral taxon 416. RNAcentral describes it as "tRNA-Gln". It matches the Rfam family "tRNA". From Rfam's summary of the family: Transfer RNA (tRNA) molecules are approximately 80 nucleotides in length. Their secondary structure includes four short double-helical elements and three loops (D, anti-codon, and T loops). RNAcentral also lists the same sequence under 1 other name. The record is from RNAcentral. Lineage: Bacteria; Bacillati; Actinomycetota; Coriobacteriia; Coriobacteriales; Atopobiaceae.
UGGUGCAUCGUCCAAUGGCUAGGACUCGGGUUUUUGGUGCCCGCAAUAGGGGUUCGAAUCCCUUUGCACCAGCCA